Molecule: long non-coding RNA, 2044 nt
Filed under: Homo sapiens (human)
Lineage: Eukaryota; Metazoa; Chordata; Mammalia; Primates; Hominidae
Description: HSALNT0315399
Source: RNAcentral
CAAGCAGAGAAUUAACCUUUGCGUGCACAUAUUUGGCCCAGAUGAAAACCGGGCGGGAUGGCAGCCCCGGGGCCAGGGAUGCGGGAGCCGCCGGGAAGACCCGCGCGCCGCUCGACUCAGAGGGACUCACACCUUCCCCCGACAAAGGUCAUUAAGUUAGGCGGCCCCACUGUCGACCAAGUGCCCAAGGCAUUGUGGGAGUCAUGAUUCCAAGAUGCCCGCGACGGAAAAUGGAACUUGUCAGCUCCUUGUCAUGGGAGCAUUGUGGGCGCCACAACUCAUUCAGCUGCAGUGAAAAGACUGUUGCAUGUCGCUGUGCAGCCUCUUAUCGCCGAGGUCUGGCUUCCGCUGCUGCUGCGCGGCCCCUCCCCCGCCCGCCCAGCCCCACCAGGAAGCCCAGGGCGGACUCGUCGAGCUCCUAAUGCACGCGGCGGCGAGAAAAACGCUCUUCAACUUUCCGCCGGCGCCCUCCCGCGCUUCCCCGGGCCACAGGGUCGCCUGUCAACCGGACAGAGCCCGCAAGAGCGGGUCAUGGGCGGUCGCCCAGCGGCGCCGAGAGCAGGAGGAAGCCGGAGCCCGCGCGGGCGCCGUGGAUCCCCUCGGCCUCCCGUUGGUAUCUUCCAUCUCAUGCGUUCAGCAUUGUAACCUCGCGGCGGGCGUGCAGACCGGACGCCCUCCCGCUUCUUCUACCGACUGCUAGGCACACCAGUGGGUUCAUUUUGAAAGAGGCCCUUGCACCGGGCUUUGCAAGGAAGCCGGCAAGGUUAGAUUGAAGGUUAGAAGCCAAUUAGACUAGAAUCCUGCGAUCUGGUGAGACUGCCGCCUUAAAAUGCACCAAACAGUUUUUGAACCUGGAGGGCUAACAGGCGGGAAAAACAUCUGCAAGACUGCCACCGUGUAUUUUUCUCAAGUAACAGGCUAUCCACAGUUUUGGAAUUCCUUAGUGAAACUGUCACACAGGCACAAACACAUGUCAGCUUUCCUUCUAGUUUGUAAAUAAUAUUUGUAAUUUACAGGCCACUGUAUUCCCAACUUUGCACCAUGUGAUUUAGAGAAAGCAAAGCUCCCUCUUUAAAAAUAAUAUGUUACUUCUGAAAUACCGGGAUAUUCCACGGCAAGUAAGCCAUAUUGUCGCCAGAGCAAAUAAACCGCAGCCCCAUAUCAUAAUUCACUGGGUGCUAUAAGAUGUAACUUGGCUUUGCUUUGAAUGGAAAGAAUCCUGAACGUCUGUGAUGUGAUGAAGUUUUGGAGACUGGGGGCAGGAUUUCCUUUGAAUGUAAGGAAUUCGGAUAACUUGUUCAAGGAUGAUUCUAGUGAAAAACGUUUGUCCCAUGUUUGUUGGGACAAAAAUGCUGGAUAUGGUACAACAUUCUUCCUGCAGGUUCGGUUUUGUUGAAGAGAGUGAGGCCAGCUCGAGGUGAAGGAAAAACAUCAGAAAGGUGCUAAAGUGCAGAAAUAUCUUCCAGAGGCACUAAUAGCCGACUUUAGUUCUUGACCUUUAGCUAGAUCCACAAAGCACUGAGUUAAAAUUGUACACUGAUCCCUUCCAGAACAAAUUAAUUAAUUAAAUGGUGCCUCUUCCCAGCGUUAAUCGUUUAAAAGGACUCAAGUACCCACACAGUUUAAGCAAACUAAAAGAACACUGACACUUUCUCAGAGAACAGGGAUGGGAACUUUCUAUCUGCCCAUUAGUAUCUACCCCAAGCUACGAAGACUUCCAUUCCUCUUAUUAAGCAUUCAGCAACUACAUUUAGUGCCUACUAUGCCAGUGAUGCAAGAAUGGAUAAGACAGUCCCUACACUCAAGGAUAACGCCUCUAGUAGGGACAGUCUUGCGAUAUGGCCGAGGCUGGAGUGCCGUGGUGCGAUCAUAGCUCACUAAAACCUGGAACUCCUGCACUCGAGGGACUCCUGGGAACUCUGAGCAAUGCUCUCACCUCAGCCUCCUGAGCGGCUAAGACUACAGGUGACUGCCACCACACUUGUCUAAUUUUAGAAUAUUUUUGUAGAGAUAGGAUCUUGCUAUGUUGCCUAGUUUAGUCUUG